GCAGGAAUGGCGAAAACGGUAAACGCACUCGACUUAGAAUUGAGAAACUGGGAGUUCGAAUCUCUCUUCCUGUA
RNAcentral lists this transfer RNA (74 nucleotides) under Jejuia spongiicola. RNAcentral describes it as "tRNA-Leu". It matches the Rfam family "tRNA". Rfam says of the family: Transfer RNA (tRNA) molecules are approximately 80 nucleotides in length. Their secondary structure includes four short double-helical elements and three loops (D, anti-codon, and T loops). Further hydrogen bonds mediate the characteristic L-shaped molecular structure. tRNAs have two regions of fundamental functional importance: the anti-codon, which is responsible for specific mRNA codon recognition, and the 3' end, to which the tRNAs corresponding amino acid is attached (by aminoacyl-tRNA synthetases). tRNAs cope with the degeneracy of the genetic code in two manners: having more than one tRNA (with a specific anti-codon) for a particular amino acid; and 'wobble' base-pairing, i.e. permitting non-standard base-pairing at the 3rd anti-codon position. Lineage: Bacteria; Pseudomonadati; Bacteroidota; Flavobacteriia; Flavobacteriales; Flavobacteriaceae. The record is from RNAcentral.